RNAcentral lists this ribosomal RNA (1346 nucleotides) under Mycobacterium sp. DWMJ-1331A2. RNAcentral describes it as "bacterial SSU rRNA". It matches the Rfam family "Bacterial small subunit ribosomal RNA", at positions 82 to 1428 of the family's 1533-position model. The record is from RNAcentral. Lineage: Bacteria; Bacillati; Actinomycetota; Actinomycetes; Mycobacteriales; Mycobacteriaceae.
UCGGGGUACACGAGUGGCGAACGGGUGAGUAACACGUGGGUAAUCUGCCCUGCACAUCGGGAUAAGCCUGGGAAACUGGGUCUAAUACCGAAUAGGACCACGGGAUGCAUGCCCUGUGGUGGAAAGCUUUUGCGGUGUGGGAUGGGCCCGCGGCCUAUCAGCUUGUUGGUGGGGUGAUGGCCCACCAAGGCGACGACGGGUAGCCGGCCUGAGAGGGUGUCCGGCCACACUGGGACUGAGAUACGGCCCAGACUCCUACGGGAGGCAGCAGUGGGGAAUAUUGCACAAUGGGCGAAAGCCUGAUGCAGCGACGCCGCGUGGGGGAUGACGGCCUUCGGGUUGUAAACCUCUUUCACCAUCGACGAAGGUCCGGGUUUUCUCGGAUUGACGGUAGGUGGAGAAGAAGCACCGGCCAACUACGUGCCAGCAGCCGCGGUAAUACGUAGGGUGCGAGCGUUGUCCGGAAUUACUGGGCGUAAAGAGCUCGUAGGUGGUUUGUCGCGUUGUUCGUGAAAUCUCACGGCUUAACUGUGAGCGUGCGGGCGAUACGGGCAGACUUGAGUACUGCAGGGGAGACUGGAAUUCCUGGUGUAGCGGUGGAAUGCGCAGAUAUCAGGAGGAACACCGGUGGCGAAGGCGGGUCUCUGGGCAGUAACUGACGCUGAGGAGCGAAAGCGUGGGGAGCGAACAGGAUUAGAUACCCUGGUAGUCCACGCCGUAAACGGUGGGUACUAGGUGUGGGUUUCCUUCCUUGGGAUCCGUGCCGUAGCUAACGCAUUAAGUACCCCGCCUGGGGAGUACGGCCGCAAGGCUAAAACUCAAAGAAAUUGACGGGGGCCCGCACAAGCGGCGGAGCAUGUGGAUUAAUUCGAUGCAACGCGAAGAACCUUACCUGGGUUUGACAUGCACAGGACGCCGGCAGAGAUGUCGGUUCCCUUGUGGCCUGUGUGCAGGUGGUGCAUGGCUGUCGUCAGCUCGUGUCGUGAGAUGUUGGGUUAAGUCCCGCAACGAGCGCAACCCUUGUCUCAUGUUGCCAGCGGGUAAUGCCGGGGACUCGUGAGAGACUGCCGGGGUCAACUCGGAGGAAGGUGGGGAUGACGUCAAGUCAUCAUGCCCCUUAUGUCCAGGGCUUCACACAUGCUACAAUGGCCGGUACAAAGGGCUGCGAUGCCGCGAGGUUAAGCGAAUCCUUUUAAAGCCGGUCUCAGUUCGGAUCGGGGUCUGCAACUCGACCCCGUGAAGUCGGAGUCGCUAGUAAUCGCAGAUCAGCAACGCUGCGGUGAAUACGUUCCCGGGCCUUGUACACACCGCCCGUCACGUCAUGAAAGUCGGUAACACCCGAAGCC